UGGCGAACGGGUGAGUAAUACGUGAGUAACCUGCCCUUGACUCUGGGAUAAGCCUGGGAAACUGGGUCUAAUACUGGAUACGACAUGUCACCGCAUGGUGGUGUGUGGAAAGGGUUUUACUGGUUUUGGAUGGGCUCACGGCCUAUCAGCUUGUUGGUGGGGUAAUGGCUCACCAAGGCGACGACGGGUAGCCGGCCUGAGAGGGUGACCGGCCACACUGGGACUGAGACACGGCCCAGACUCCUACGGGAGGCAGCAGUGGGGAAUAUUGCACAAUGGGCGAAAGCCUGAUGCAGCGACGCCGCGUGAGGGAUGACGGCCUUCGGGUUGUAAACCUCUUUCAGCACGGAAGAAGCGAAAGUGACGGUACGUGCAGAAGAAGCGCCGGCUAACUACGUGCCAGCAGCCGCGGUAAUACGUAGGGCGCAAGCGUUGUCCGGAAUUAUUGGGCGUAAAGAGCUCGUAGGCGGUUUGUCGCGUC
This 481-nucleotide ribosomal RNA is filed under the name uncultured Kocuria sp. RNAcentral describes it as "bacterial SSU rRNA". It matches the Rfam family "Bacterial small subunit ribosomal RNA", at positions 96 to 589 of the family's 1533-position model. The record is from RNAcentral. Lineage: Bacteria; Bacillati; Actinomycetota; Actinomycetes; Micrococcales; Micrococcaceae.